AAUAGAUCAAUCUUCUUGGUGCCACUGGGUUUUAGAUCCUCUGAUAACGGGUGAAAUAAAUCCUUCUCUUGGAGAUCUUGGAGGAAAAGAUAAUUUUAAGAAUGCAGGGGGAUCACAGCAUGAGCAGCUCAGCUUUUUGCUACAAAAGUGCAAAGCAAGGUGAGAUAAUCCACAUUUAAAGCCUCUUUUGGGUGUGUUGGCCACAUCAGCACCGAGGAAACUCCAGCAAACCCCAACUGCAAUAAUUACUGAAGUUUUCCUUUAUAAAUUCUCCAUGGGAACCUCUUUGUUAUGGAGAUACCUUUCAAGAGGAAAAGAGUCCUCAGCUCUCCAUCCUCCCCUGGAGCUGGGAGGGAACAUCCAGGGCAGCUCCUCAAAUGAGAACUGGGACAAAAGGAUCCCUUCCCAAGCCUUUCUUCCACAUCUGAAAAUUUCCUGUGAAAUCCCUGUGAAAUCCAGAAAUAAUGGGGAAGGAGAAACCCCUGCAACCCAGAAAUGCUGGCUGGAGGGAAGGGAAAGGACAGGAAGCAGCGUGAAACACCCUCAUUCCAAAUGGGGUGAAUAAUAUUUAUUAUCCAAUUGUAUAUAUUUAUAUUUAUCUUU
Molecule: long non-coding RNA, 603 nt
Organism: Poecile atricapillus (Black-capped chickadee)
Lineage: Eukaryota; Metazoa; Chordata; Aves; Passeriformes; Paridae
Exons: 3
Source: RefSeq, a predicted model, not a curated record